This 428-nucleotide ribosomal RNA is filed under the name uncultured prokaryote. RNAcentral describes it as "bacterial SSU rRNA". It matches the Rfam family "Bacterial small subunit ribosomal RNA", at positions 355 to 774 of the family's 1533-position model. The record is from RNAcentral.
UGAGGAAUAUUGCGCAAUGGGGGCAACCCUGACGCAGCAACGCCGCGUGAGUGAGGAAGGUUUUCGGAUUGUAAAGCUCUGUCGAGCGGAAAGAAAUGCAUUAUGGCUAAUAUCCAUAGUGCUUGACGGUACCGCUAAAGGAAGCACCGGCUAACUCCGUGCCAGCAGCCGCGGUAAUACGGGGGGUGCAAGCGUUGUUCGGAAUCAUUGGGCGUAAAGCGCGUGUAGGCGGCUUGACAAGUCAGAUGUGAAAUCCCUGGGCUUAACUCAGGAAGUGCAUUUGAAACUGUCAGGCUAGAGUAAGGGAGAGGAAAGUGGAAUUCCUGGUGUAGAGGUGAAAUUCGUAGAUAUCAGGAGGAACACCGGUGGCGAAGGCGACUUUCUGGCCCUAUACUGACGCUGAGACGCGAAAGCGUGGGUAGCAAACA